Molecule: ribosomal RNA, 253 nt
Filed under: uncultured bacterium
Lineage: Bacteria
Description: partial 16S ribosomal RNA
Rfam family: Bacterial small subunit ribosomal RNA
Source: RNAcentral
GACGAACCGAGCGACCGUUGUUCGGAAUCACUGGGCUUAAAGGGCGCGUAGGCGGGUGCUCAAGUCCGUGGUGAAAUCCUCCGGCUCAACCGGAGAACUGCCUCGGAUACUGGGUGCCUCGAGGGUGGUAGGGGUAUGCGGAACUAUCGGUGGAGCGGUGAAAUGCGUUGAUAUCGAUAGGAACUCCGGUGGCGAAGGCGGCAUACUGGACCACCUCUGACGCUGAGGCGCGAAAGCCAGGGGAGCAAACGGG